UCGUUUAUCAAAUCGAUUCUUUCAUCAACUUAAUGACAAAUGUUUGUUUUUAUGGCCUAUAGAUGCAUUCAACUUGAGUUCACUGUCACAGUGCAGCUUUUUUAUGAAGUCCACGAAGCCCAAAGCUGAUAAGACUGGCGAUUGAUCCUAAAGCUGAUUCUGACAGACGAUUGCAUCAUCACAGUAUUAAAGGUUCAAUAUACAGUCAGCCUCUCAUAAGAAAAAAUCCACAGAUCCAAGGCUUGCUUCAAAGUUAAGAGACCAUUCUGUGCCACAAAGAAAUAGUUUAGGAAGGGGAGAACUGGUGGAUUUGCAUUUUUGGUACAGUUCAAAGAGAUUUUCAAAAUGGUCAGAUCAGAGGGAGGACAACUGAAAAUAUUGAAAGAUACAGAUGGAAAAAGAACAAGGAAAUAUAUGGAAUAAUUAUGAAAUGGGGAGGAUGUACACAAUUUUGUCUGAAUUUGUCCUGUUAAGAUUUUCCAUUCUUAUUUGUAUGCUGGACUAUCAAAUAACUUGAUUUUUCAUAAAUUUACAAUAGAGAAUACAUGGCAGAUGUUGUUGCUGAUAU
Molecule: long non-coding RNA, 568 nt
Organism: Saccostrea cuccullata (small rock oyster)
Lineage: Eukaryota; Metazoa; Mollusca; Bivalvia; Ostreida; Ostreidae
Exons: 3
Source: RefSeq, a predicted model, not a curated record